This 250-nucleotide ribosomal RNA is filed under the name uncultured bacterium. RNAcentral describes it as "partial 16S ribosomal RNA". It matches the Rfam family "Bacterial small subunit ribosomal RNA", at positions 524 to 773 of the family's 1533-position model. The record is from RNAcentral.
AACGUAGGGGGCCAGCGUUGCUCGGAAUGACUGGGCGUAAAGGGUCUGUAGGCGGUGCGGCAAGUCGGAAGUGAAAUCCUGCGGCUUAACUGCAGGGCUGCUUCCGAAACUGCCGCGCUAGAGUGCGGGAGAGGGGAGUGGAAUUGCCGGUGUAGCGGUGAAAUGCGUAGAUAUCGGCAGGAACACCGGAGGCGAAGGCGGCUCCCUGGACCGCAACUGACGCUGAGAGACGAAAGCUGGGGGAGCAAAC